GGUACGCCUGGGAAUCAACAGGCCGGGCGCUCUCCUCUACCGCCUCCUGCCCCCUGGAAUUGGGUGGGGGGCCUUUGGCAUGGACAUCUGGACCGACAUCUGGACCAGACACAACUUGAGAAAUACAGAGGUCAGGCUUCUCUUGAGCUGGAACAGCUGGGACAGACACCCAGCCCAUCUCACAAACCACAGACUAAGCCAUGCAGCCCCUAUUGCUCUUUCCUCUGAGCUCCUCACACAGCUCCAGGAGAGAUGGGUACCCCUGUUCCUUGCAGGAACACCUGACCAGGAUACAGGUAUUGUCCGUGUUGCUGUGCCGAUGGACACCCUCAGUAUUUUCUGGCCGACAAACACUCAAGUUGUAUUGACAGAGAGGAAGAUGCCCAGUCUGAGCCGAGAACAAGGAACCACCAAUCUCCCUGUUCUAAUGCCAGCUCCAAGGUUGACUCUCUUGGCCGAGUUGUAUUAUCUGCCUAUGCCAUCAUUAGGGUGGGCAUUAAGGAAACCCGCCAGCCACACGGGGGGAUUAUUGCAUGGGUGGCAGCACCAUAAGGUGCAAACAAGUCCAUACAGUUAAUCUAAUGUGAGAACCCAACUGCUAGAACUGCUCUCUCACAAUCCUAUUUCUCCUGGGUGACAAUGCCACGCAGUAGAGUUAAGGGUGCAAGGGUGCCCAUGUGUUUGGAUUUCUUUUCAACAGAACACAAAUUUCCUUGUUGGUUUGAGGAAUAAUUACAACAUCCUUGUACAGCUACUUACCCAUACAUUACUGAAGCACCCUCCACCUCAACUCAAAGUUACCCUAAUUAUUUUGGUCUUGGCGCUUCAGAGAUGGGUGUGCAUAGAAUACAGCUCUUUGGUUCACGUAUUCAUUCAGCAGUUGCUUCUGUGCGACACAGAGCCAAUGACAAGACCAAACCAAAAUCACACUGUGUUAUGGCACGUCUAAGAGGUCCCAACCCUGCUUUAAGCUCCAUGGUGCUCGGCACAGCCGUGAGAGAGAGUUUCUAUCUUCAGGAAGUCAUUUUCUAAAUUAAAACUCCACCACCACAUUUCACAGAGGUCCUUGAGAGUCUUCUGCCCGCUUUCCUGCCUGUUAAGUACUGGAACGCACCCAAACGCCAGAAUUCAUUGAGCUGGAGCAAAGAAUACCACUGGGCCAGGUUUUUUCUGGAUGAAAUCAGAGUUCAUCUCAGCCGUGCUCUGAAUAGCUCAGUAACUGGCAAACCUGCCCUGAACUAAUGAUUUAGAACAAUAUUCACACCGCUUGUCUCACGACCUACAUUUUUGUAGCAUCUUAGACAGAACAGCUGUAGGGCUGAUUCAGAGGGGAGGCUGAGCUCCUGCCUGCCAACAAAUCAUGGUGGUAAGCUUCAGACCUGCAUGGGGCAGCAUCCCACCUUACGUGCUAUCUUUGAUUUGGGCCCACUGCAUCACGUUGGGGCUGGGCGAAAGGAGUGUAGCAAUAAAAGCAAGCAACGCAUAUAUAUCUGAGAAGAUAAGAGCUCUUAAUUUUAAUUCUCACCUUCAGCAGACAAGGUUCUUUGGGUAAAUGUGAUAUCUUUUAUUAAGCCAACUACGUUUAGUUGGUCAAAUAAAAUAUAUCACAUUUACCCAAAGAACCUUGUCUGCCCAUGUCCUUCGAACAACCAACACCCCCAAACUCUCACCUUCCACAUUCUUGGCCUGUAAAGUAUGACGACGUAUGGCUUGUUUUCUCUGCGGCACCAGCUCACACUGCAACUUGAGUGUAAGCUGCUCCCUACUCCCAUCUACACAUGGUCUCUGGCUUGAGAUCUGGACUCAAGCGAGCUGGCCCACCAGGGUCUGAAGCUGGAGUGUGGCUGCUGCUCGCACCAGUAAUGCAGAGGGGUACAGAUGCAGGUUAGAGCAACUCAGCACAACUGCUGCUCCACUUGCACCGUGCAGCUAGAGUGGUUUUUUGCAGUGCGGCCACUUUGACUCAAGCAAGGCACGGGGUCAUUUUUAAGAACCAGAACUGGGCAGGUCCUUGGCAUCAUGUCUCCUCUGGAAGGGGGUGCCACGGUGGCCCUUUGGCCUAUGCUGGGACAUUGUUUCAAUGCUGACUUAGAAGGAAAAGUGCCAUGUGCUACACAAAUGUCACUUGCUGCAGCCCCAGAGUUUUCCCUGGUCUCCCAGCCACGUUCUGACCCCGCUCAACCCUGUCCAGCCCAUGAGAUCCCAUGGGUUGGGAUGGGAUUGAGAGCACAGAACAGCAUGGCUGCACAGAGCAUCUGAACUGGGAAAUGAAAUUAAUCUGCAAAAUAUUGCAGUGCCAUUUUGGUACAUUUUAGCUGAUUUAUUCUCUCCUCGUUAAGAGGAGCUAAUUAACAAACCAUCAUUUAAAUAAACAGCAGUGAGUGUG
This is a long non-coding RNA of Alligator mississippiensis (American alligator), 2386 nucleotides long. RefSeq lists it as uncharacterized. Lineage: Eukaryota; Metazoa; Chordata; Crocodylia; Alligatoridae. The transcript has 2 exons. The record is from RefSeq and is a predicted model, not a curated record.